This 1211-nucleotide ribosomal RNA is filed under the name metagenome. RNAcentral describes it as "bacterial SSU rRNA". It matches the Rfam family "Bacterial small subunit ribosomal RNA", at positions 293 to 1498 of the family's 1533-position model. The record is from RNAcentral.
UGAGAGGUUGGCCCGCAACAUCGGGACUGAGACACUGCCCGGACCUCCACGGAGGGCUGCAGUAACGAAUAUUGGGCAAUGAGCGAAAGCUUGACCCAGCGACGCCGCGUGUAGGAUGAAGUCUUUCGGGAUGUAAACUACUGUCAGGGGGACGAAAGUGCGCUUCGGUGCAUUGAUCGAACCCAGAGGAAGUCACGGCUAACUUCGUGCCAGCAGCCGCGGUAAGACAAAGGUGGCAAGCGUUGUUCGGUAUUACUGGGCUUAAAGCGUGUGUAGGCGGAAAUGUAAGCGUUUUGUGAAAUCCCUCGGCUUAACCGAGGAAUUGCUUGACGAACUGCAUUUCUUGAGGCAGGUAGGGGUGCGCAGAACUCUUGGUGGAGCGGUGGAAUGCGUAGAUAUCAAGAGGAAUGCCGGUGGAGAAGUCGGUGCACUGGGCCUGACCUGACGCUGAGACACGAAAGCGUGGGGAGCGAACGGGAUUAGAUACCCCGGUAGUCCACGCCGUAAACGAUGCCUACUAGGUUGUGGUGGUUCUGACGCCAGCACAGCCGAAGCUAAAGUGUUAAGUAGGCCGCCUGGGGAGUACGGUCGCAAGGCUAAAACUCAAAGGAAUUGACGGGGGCUCACACAAGCGGUGGAGCAUGUGGAUUAAUUCGAAACAACGCGCGGAACCUUACCAGGGUUUGACAUGCUUGGAUGCCGCCGAGGAAACUCGGUUUGGCUGCCUUCGGGUGAAACUUGCACAGGUGCUGCAUGGCUGUCGUCAGCUCGUGUCGUGAGAUGUCGGGUUAAGUCCCUUAACGAGCGAAACCCUUGCCGCUAGUUGCCAGCGAGUCAUGUCGGGGACUCUAGCGGGACUGCCGGUGUUAAACCGGAGGAAGGUGGGGAUGACGUCAAGUCAUCAUGGCCUUUAUGCCCUGGGCUUCACACGUGCUACAAUGGUCAGAACAGAGCGACGCAAGACCGUGAGGUGGAGCAAAUCGCAAAAAUCUGGCCCCAGUUCGGAUUGCAGGCUGGCAACUCGCCUGCAUGAAGUUGGAAUCGCUAGUAAUCGCGUAUCAGCGAUGACGCGGUGAAUGUGUUCCUGAGCCUUGUACACACCGCCCGUCAAGUGAUGGGAGUUGGGAGUACCCGAAGUCGUCUUGCUAACCCGCAAGGGAGGCGGAUGCCGACGGUAAGCCCGAUGACUGGCACUAAGUCGGAACAAGGUA